AUACGGAGGACGCGAGCGUUAUCCGGAUUCAUUGGGUUUAAAGGGUGCGCAGGCGGCCGUGCAAGUCAGCGGUGAAAGCCCGGGGCUCAACCCCGGAAGUGCCGUUGAUACUGCAUGGCUGGAAUGCGGUCGAGGCGGGCGGAACGUGGGGUGUAGCGGGGAAAUGCGUGGAUAUGCCACAGAACGCCGGUAGCGGAGGAGGCUCGCCAGGCCUGCAUGGACGCUCGGGCACGAAAGCGUGGGGAUCGAACAGGAUUAGAUCCCCUGGUAGUCCACGCCGUAAACGAUGGGCGCUCGUCGUCGGCGGCAGACAGUCGGCGGCCAAGCGAAAGCGAUAAGCGCCCCACCUGGGGAGUACGGUCGCAAGGCUGAAACUCAAAUGAAUUGACGGGG
RNAcentral lists this ribosomal RNA (393 nucleotides) under uncultured bacterium. RNAcentral's name for it is "partial 16S ribosomal RNA". It matches the Rfam family "Bacterial small subunit ribosomal RNA", at positions 523 to 918 of the family's 1533-position model. The record is from RNAcentral.